This 1285-nucleotide long non-coding RNA is filed under the name Lactuca sativa (garden lettuce). Its description in RNAcentral is "long non-coding RNA (LSAT_LNC001883)". Lineage: Eukaryota; Viridiplantae; Streptophyta; Magnoliopsida; Asterales; Asteraceae. The record is from RNAcentral.
UCCGCUUCAGCUCUCGUAUAGACGCCUCAAGAGAGUCACGCCUUUUUUCUUCUUGGACUGUUGUUGGUGCUGGACUUAAUUCUGGGCCAAAGUUCCGAAAUAUAUAUAUAUAUAUAUAGUAUAACUUGUUGGACAAAUUUUAUGCCCCUAAUUUGUUGAUGCCCUGGGCCUAAGCCCACCUUGCCCAUGUAUUGGGCCGGGACUGAGAGAAGUAAAGAACUCACCAAAAUUUAAAAAAAAAAACGAAAUCAGACCAUGCUUUUUUGAUUUUCAGCUUUCAGAUAUGCCUUCAAGCCUCCUGUAUUCUGUAUUCACAUCACAAAAUCAAGUAAUCAACCAUUGACCUAAUCACCCAAUCAUUUAAUCAAAUACAGUGAAGAUAUGAAUAUGAUGAAUUGAUGAUUCAUGUCGGAAAUUUUAGAAAGAAAUAAGAAACAAACAAACGAAAAAAAGAACUCACCGAUUUUACGAUUUAUAUAUUGAUUCUGUUUUCCUCUUGCUUUAGACAGAAAAAAAAUCCAACCCAAAUCGUUGCUACACCUAUGAAUCGUUGAUACAACUCCGAAUGAAGGAAAAAAAUCCAAUUUAAUCGAAUGGUAGAGACUGAAGAGUCUCGAUCUCCACGAUUAAGAGUCUCGAGAGAUAGAAUAAGAAACGGAGAAAGGUGAAUAGAAAUCGGACCAUAGACAUCGAUUAAGAGUCUCGAUCUUCACGAUUUUCAAGGGUUCCCGUUACAAAAUUGACGAUUGAAGUUCUCGACAGCAUCUUGGCGCUCACGAAAUAAUCUCCCGCUUGGCCGCCGCUUCCGCUUCAGCUCUCGUAUAGACGCCUCAAGAGAGUCACGCCUUUUUUCUUCUUGGACUGUUGUUGGUGCUGGACUUAAUUCUGGGCCAAAGUUCCGAAAUAUAUAUAUAUAUAUAUAGUAUAACUUGUUGGACAAAUUUUAUGCCCCUAAUUUGUUGAUGCCCUGGGCCUAAGCCCACCUUGCCCAUGUAUUGGGCCGGGACUGAGAGAAGUAAAGAACUCACCAAAAUUUAAAAAAAAAAACGAAAUCAGACCAUGCUUUUUUGAUUUUCAGCUUUCAGAUAUGCCUUCAAGCCUCCUGUAUUCUGUAUUCACAUCACAAAAUCAAGUAAUCAACCAUUGACCUAAUCACCCAAUCAUUUAAUCAAAUACAGUGAAGAUAUGAAUAUGAUGAAUUGAUGAUUCAUGUCGGAAAUUUUAGAAAGAAAUAAGAAACAAACAAACGAAAAAAAGAACUCACCGAUUUUACGAUUUAUAUAUU